GACUUAGAUGCUCGAGUUUUUCAGCAGAUUGUACACACCGCCCGUCACACCAUGGAAGCU
RNAcentral lists this ribosomal RNA (60 nucleotides) under Nostoc sp. EGY. RNAcentral describes it as "partial 16S ribosomal RNA". Lineage: Bacteria; Bacillati; Cyanobacteriota; Cyanophyceae; Nostocales; Nostocaceae. The record is from RNAcentral.